This 27-nucleotide small RNA is filed under the name Bombyx mori (domestic silkworm). Its description in RNAcentral is "ovarian small RNA-11889". Lineage: Eukaryota; Metazoa; Arthropoda; Insecta; Lepidoptera; Bombycidae. The record is from RNAcentral.
AGACGUCUUCCGCUGGUGAUUGUAUGC